CCUACGGGAGGCAGCAGUGGGGAAUAUUUCACAAUGGGGGAAAGCCUGAUGCAGCGACGCCGCGUGAAGGAAGAAGGCUUUCGGGAUGUAAACUUCUAUUAUCAGGGAGGAAUAUGAUGGUAACUUAUGAAUAAGGAUCGGCUAACUACGUGCCAGCAGCCGCGGUGAUACGUAGGGUGCGAGCGUUAUCCGGAUUUACUGGGUGUAAAGAGUUCGGUGGGGGGCAUACUAAGCAGCUAGUAAAAUCUGGUGGCUCAACCAUCCAGACUAUUAGCGAAACUGUUAAGCUCGAGACCGUGAGGGGUAACUGGAAUUCCUAGUGUAGGGGUGAAAUCCGUAGAUAUUAGAAGGAACACCAAUAGCGUAGGCAGCUUGCUGGGACGGUUCUGACACUAAGGCACGAAAGCGUAGGGAGCAAACAGGAUUAGAUACCCGGGUAGUC
Molecule: ribosomal RNA, 442 nt
Filed under: uncultured bacterium
Lineage: Bacteria
Description: partial 16S ribosomal RNA
Rfam family: Bacterial small subunit ribosomal RNA
Source: RNAcentral